UGAACGCUGGCGGCGUGCCUAAUACAUGCAAGUCGAACGAGGUGCUUUUGUAGCAAUACGGAAGUAUCCUAGUGGCGAACGGGUGAGUAACGCGUUGGUGACCUACCCCAAAGUGUGGGAUAACAGUUCGAAAGAACUGCUAAUACCGCAUGUGGUUAUUGGAUUUAGAAACCGAUAACUAAAGGAGCAAUUCGCUUUGGGAGGGACCUGCGUCCCAUCAGCUAGUUGGUGAGGUAAUGGCUCACCAAGGCUACGACGGGUAGGGGACCUGAGAGGGUGACCCCCCACAAUGGAACUGAAACACGGUCCAUACACCUACGGGUGGCAGUAGUAGGGAAUAUUGGUUAAUCUGGGAAACCGGGAACCAGCAACGCCGCGUGCACGAUGAAGGCCUUCGGGUUGUAAAGUGCUUUUUGAAAGGAUGAGGAAGGACAGUACUUUCAGAAUAAGCUUCGGCUAACUACGU
This 466-nucleotide ribosomal RNA is filed under the name uncultured bacterium. RNAcentral's name for it is "partial 16S ribosomal RNA". It matches the Rfam family "Bacterial small subunit ribosomal RNA", at positions 30 to 506 of the family's 1533-position model. The record is from RNAcentral.